GACGAACGCUGGCGGCGUGCUUAACACAUGCAAGUCGAACGGAAAGGCCCUGCUUUUGUGGGGUGCUCGAGUGGCGAACGGGUGAGUAACACGUGAGUAACCUGCCCUUGACUUUGGGAUAACUUCAGGAAACUGGGGCUAAUACCGGAUAGGAGCUCCUGCUGCAUGGUGGGGGUUGGAAAGUUUCGGCGGUUGGGGAUGGACUCGCGGCUUAUCAGCUUGUUGGUGGGGUAGUGGCUUACCAAGGCUUUGACGGGUAGCCGGCCUGAGAGGGUGACCGGCCACAUUGGGACUGAGAUACGGCCCAGACUCCUACGGGAGGCAGCAGGGGGGAAUAUGGCACAAUGGGCGGAAGCCUGAUGCAGCAACGCCGCGUGCGGGAUGACGGCCUUCGGGUUGUAAACCGCUUUCGCCUGUGACGAAGCGUGAGUGACGGUAAUGGGUAAAGAAGCACCGGCUAACUGCGUG
RNAcentral lists this ribosomal RNA (468 nucleotides) under uncultured bacterium. Its description in RNAcentral is "partial 16S ribosomal RNA". It matches the Rfam family "Bacterial small subunit ribosomal RNA", at positions 28 to 507 of the family's 1533-position model. The record is from RNAcentral.